RNAcentral lists this ribosomal RNA (1441 nucleotides) under metagenome. RNAcentral describes it as "bacterial SSU rRNA". It matches the Rfam family "Bacterial small subunit ribosomal RNA". The record is from RNAcentral.
AUGCAAGUCGAACGAAGCACCUUGAUUUGAUUCUUCGGAUGAAGAUCUUGGUGACUGAGUGGCGGACGGGUGAGUAACGCGUGGGUAACCUGCCUCAUACAGGGGGAUAACAGUUAGAAAUGACUGCUAAUACCGCAUAAGACCACAGCACCGCAUGGUGCAGGGGUAAAAACUCCGGUGGUAUGAGAUGGACCCGCGUCUGAUUAGGUAGUUGGUGGGGUAACGGCCUACCAAGCCGACGAUCAGUAGCCGACCUGAGAGGGUGACCGGCCACAUUGGGACUGAGACACGGCCCAAACUCCUACGGGAGGCAGCAGUGGGGAAUAUUGCACAAUGGGGGAAACCCUGAUGCAGCGACGCCGCGUGAGCGAUGGAGUAUUUCGGUAUGUAAAGCUCUAUCAGCAGGGAAGAAAAUGACGGUACCUGACUAAGAAGCACCGGCUAAAUACGUGCCAGCAGCCGCGGUAAUACGUAUGGUGCAAGCGUUAUCCGGAUUUACUGGUGUAAAGGGAGCGUAGACGGAGUGGCAAGUCUGAUGUGAAAACCCGGGGCUCAACCCCGGGACUGCAUUGGAAACUGUCAAUCUAGAGUACCGGAGAGGUAAGCGGAAUUCCUAGUGUAGCGGUGAAAUGCGUAGAUAUUAGGAGGAACACCAGUGGCGAAGGCGGCUUACUGGACGGUAACUGACGUUGAGGCUCGAAAGCGCGGGGAGCAAACAGGAUUAGAUACCCUGGUAGUCCACGCCGUAAACGAUGACUACUAGGUGUCGGGCAGCAAAGCUGUUCGGUGCCGCAGCAAACGCAAUAAGUAGUCCACCUGGGGAGUACGUUCGCAAGAAUGAAACUCAAAGGAAUUGACGGGGACCCGCACAAGCGGUGGAGCAUGUGGUUUAAUUCGAAGCAACGCGAAGAACCUUACCUGCUCUUGACAUGUCCCUGACCGGCAAGUAAUGUUGCCUUUCCUUCGGGACAGGGAUGACAGGUGGUGCAUGGUUGUCGUCAGCUCGUGUCGUGAGAUGUUGGGUUAAGUCCCGCAACGAGCGCAACCCCUAUCUUUAGUAGCCAGCGGUUCGGCCGGGCACUCUAGAGAGACUGCCAGGGAUAACCUGGAGGAAGGUGGGGAUGACGUCAAAUCAUCAUGCCCCUUAUGAGCAGGGCUACACACGUGCUACAAUGGCGUAAACAAAGGGAGGCAGAACCGCGAGGUCGAGCAAAUCCCAAAAAUAACGUCUCAGUUCGGAUUGUAGUCUGCAACUCGACUACAUGAAGCUGGAAUCGCUAGUAAUCGCGAAUCAGAAUGUCGCGGUGAAUACGUUCCCGGGUCUUGUACACACCGCCCGUCACACCAUGGGAGUCAGUAACGCCCGAAGUCAGUGACCCAACCGUAAGGAGGGAGCUGCCGAAGGUGGGACCGAUAACUGGGGUGAAGUCGGAACAAGGUA